This 72-nucleotide transfer RNA is filed under the name Blumeria graminis f. sp. tritici 96224. RNAcentral's name for it is "tRNA-Thr (AGT) (tRNA-Thr-AGT-7-1)". It matches the Rfam family "tRNA". Rfam says of the family: Transfer RNA (tRNA) molecules are approximately 80 nucleotides in length. Their secondary structure includes four short double-helical elements and three loops (D, anti-codon, and T loops). Lineage: Eukaryota; Fungi; Ascomycota; Leotiomycetes; Helotiales; Erysiphaceae. RNAcentral also lists the same sequence under 2 other names. The record is from RNAcentral.
GCCCUCGUAGCUCAAUGGUAGAGCGCGUCACUAGUAAUGACGAGGCUGCCGGUUCGAUUCCGUCCGAGGGCA